RNAcentral lists this ribosomal RNA (479 nucleotides) under Thylacodes sp. Verm83. RNAcentral's name for it is "partial large subunit ribosomal RNA". It matches the Rfam family "Bacterial large subunit ribosomal RNA", at positions 1818 to 2598 of the family's 2925-position model. Lineage: Eukaryota; Metazoa; Mollusca; Gastropoda; Littorinimorpha; Vermetidae. The record is from RNAcentral.
GCUCCUCGUUCAUACUUUAAAUAUGGGGAGUCGAGCCUGCCCAAUGAAUUAAAUUUUAAUGGCCGCGGUACUUUGACCGUGCAAAGGUAGCAUAAUCACUUGUUUAUUAAUUGUAGACUGGAAUGAAUGGUGUGACGAAGGGUAGACUGUCUUUUAUUAGUUUUUUAGAAUUUAAUUUUUAAGUUAAAAAGCUUAAAUUUAAUUAAUAGACGAGAAGACCCUGACGAGCUUUAGCUUAAACUAGGUGAGUCUAGUCUUUAUGUGUUGGUUGGGGCGACUAAGGAACAGGUAAAGCUUCUUUUUAAGGUACCAGGAUCCGAUAAAUAUCGAUACAAGGGAAUAGCUACCGCAGGGAUAACAGCAUAAUUCUCCUAGAGAGCUCCAAUCGAAAGGGGAGUUUGUGACCUCGAUGUUGGACUAGAGUAUCCGGGGGGUGCAGCAGCUUCCGAUGGUCGGUCUGUUCGACCGUUAAAACUCUA